GAUGAACGCUGGCGGCGUGCUUAACACAUGCAAGUCGAACGGAAAGGCCACAGCUUGCUGUGGUACUCGAGUGGCGAACGGGUGAGUAACACGUGGGUGAUCUGCCCUGUACUUCGGGAUAAGCUUGGGAAACUGGGUCUAGUACCGGAUAGGAAUCACAUGUGGGUGUGUGGUUGGAAAGCUUUUGCGGUAUGGGAUGAGCUCGCGGCCUAUCAGCUUGUUGGUGGGGUAAUGGCCUACCAAGGCGUCGACGGGUAGCCGGCCUGAGAGGGUGUACGGCCACAUUGGGACUGAGAUACGGCCCAGACUCCUACGGGAGGCAGCAGUGGGGAAUAUUGCACAAUGGGCGCAAGCCUGAUGCAGCGACGCCGCGUGGGGGAUGACGGCCUUCGGGUUGUAAACUCCUUUCGUCAGGGACGAAGCGAAAGUGACGGUACCUGGAUAAGAAGCACCGGCUAACUACGUG
RNAcentral lists this ribosomal RNA (466 nucleotides) under uncultured bacterium. RNAcentral's name for it is "partial 16S ribosomal RNA". It matches the Rfam family "Bacterial small subunit ribosomal RNA", at positions 28 to 507 of the family's 1533-position model. The record is from RNAcentral.